AUGGAUGCUGGCCACCCUAAGACAGACCCACAGGCCUUCUUCAGCGAGCUGACGGCUGCAUCCAUCAUGCGAAUCUACUACAACUUACAAGGUCGUCUGGGCACGUCCUCACAUUGGACAGUUUCACCCCGUUCGUGCGGCCGCUUGUCGGUGCCCCCGGGGGCAUUUUUGUCAUUUCACGCACAUGGGUAUAAAAGUGGCAGCUCCCGUGGAGAUAACCCUAGCCGCCUCACUCCCGCAUUAUUCCCCCUUGUCUCCUCCUCUCCCACUCGCGCCGCUCCCUAUCCUCUUCCUCCUGCCCCGCCUCUCUCUCCCCCACCAAACCCUAGGCUGCGCCCGCCUCGCUGCCUCGCCGCCGGCCGCCGCCGCUCGCCCGGGUACCCAUCCAUGACCUCACGCCGCCCUCUCCUCUUCCCUCUCGGCCUGUUCGCGCUCACGGAGGCCAACGCGGGCGCGCUGCUCUGGGUGGCGCGCCGCCUCCGCUGCCGGCAGGAGGUGGCCGCGGCGGCCGCCGGCGCAGCCGGGCGACCAGGAGCUCCUCGGCGAGCAAUCGUUCCCCUACGAGAAGAAGGUGAGGAGGACACGCCCCUCCAUCAAGAGAUGGCCAAGGCGGCCGCGCCGCUCUGGGUGGAGGGUCGCCUCCGCCGCCGGCAGGAUUGGGCCGCGGCGGCCGUCGCACCCUCGCUCGCGCCUCCGCCCCGCGCCUCCCCCACGCCCAGCUCCUGCCUUGCCGCCGCCUCCUCUCCCCUCCCGCGCGCCUCCUCUCCCCUCCCCUCCCCUCCCCUUGUCGCCGCCUCCUCGGCCAAGGCGCCAAGCAGCAGCGAGCCCCGACAUCUCCGCCACCGCGCAGCACAGCGCCGAGCUCGCCGAGCUCCGUUGCGUCCUCUCCUCCCGCCGGAUUCGCCGCUCACGGCCACCAUCGCUCACCCGCGACCUUGCCCGUGGUUAGGGUUUCGGGUGUUCGUCACCGGUGGCCAUGGGGCUGCGCCUCCUCUCUGCAUCUGCAGCAGAGGCAAGGAGCGGGGACGAGCCUCCUCCCAUUUACUCUGUGUGUGUGUGUGUGUUCAUCUGCUCGAGAACUGGAUCCCGAGGGGCAAAGGUGCAACCCUGCAGAGCCGCUUGAUCCCAAAAUUAAAGUUUCAGUUACUAUUGUUCAGAUGUGAUUGGCCUGGCAGCAGCUCGGGCCUGCUGAAGAAUGAAGACACAACAACAGGGGGAGGGAGAUCGGAAUGCUUCAGGAUCCUGAAAUAUGAUGUUAAACCUGAGCAUUUAUCCAAACAAGGCAAUUUACUAGAGCAGUUCAAGCAAGAAUACUUCCAGAAUCCAUCUUGUGAUCUGUUGUCACUAUGGCUGAGCAGGCAUCAAGUCAAGCAAAGGGGAUUUUAUGGUUGCAGCCGAGACCAGUGCUUAGGAGAAAUCGACUGGACAGAUGAAGUAUCCAUAUACGAGAUAAAACCAGUGACAAUCCAUCUAAUACCAUGGGUCCACAUGAUGAGAAGGAUAUUUGCAUACCAGGGAAAGCGUCACAUAAGAGCCAUGUUUCCUCCAUGCUUCUACAUGAUAAUUAGGAUGCAGGCAACUGUCAAGGGACGAAAGUUACUCUGUCUGCACCAUGUCAGGAGGGUGCUUUUGGAUGUCGACUUCAUUUAUUUCAUAUGCACUGUUGCAGGGGCCGCAGCUGCCACCAUUCCUGUCCAAGACGUACGAUCUCGAAGGCGAGCCGCAGCUGGACGGGGUCAUCUCCUGGGGUCCUUCGUCGUGUGGAAUCCUUCCACCUUUGACCGGGACGUGCUCCCGCACAACUUCAAGCACAAGAAGUUCUCCAGCUUCGUCAGCCAGCUCAACACCUACGUGUGUAUCGUAUCACUGUCCAAUCCUCUGUUCUCAUCUUUCUUUUCUUUUACAAUCUCUCACUGGAUUAUUAUUCAUGAUGCCGUCCUCUGCUGGGGAGGCACUCUGUUUCUGUUUGGAGUUGAUCCUGUGAUGGCAAGCUUAACCAUUUGCUGGGAUGCGACGCUGCUCGCGCUCAAAUGUGAAUGA
Molecule: ribosomal RNA, 2040 nt
Filed under: Triticum aestivum (bread wheat)
Lineage: Eukaryota; Viridiplantae; Streptophyta; Magnoliopsida; Poales; Poaceae
Description: partial small subunit ribosomal RNA
Source: RNAcentral